AUGGUAGAGCAUUAUCUUUCUAAUUCAAAUUCAAAGCUAACAAUCACAACAGAAUAUAACUAUCACUAUGGCAACUGUUACGAAGAUGAAUCCCUCCUUUCUCAAAGUCGAUACGCAAGUUAUUUGCUGCCUUCCCAUAUUCCUCUGGUAGGUAGGGCACCUUCACUCUCAGCGUUUAGUACCGCAUUUUAUAAAGUAGUAUAUGUGUUCAGGUACUGCAGAAAAUCACAGAAAAUGAAUGUUACCGUUCUGGUUUGGUCAUUUCACUCUGCUCUCUCCCUUUUCACAGAUGCCAUUUAUGUUAUAGACCUUACUUGA
RNAcentral lists this ribosomal RNA (318 nucleotides) under Triticum aestivum (bread wheat). RNAcentral describes it as "partial small subunit ribosomal RNA". The record is from RNAcentral. Lineage: Eukaryota; Viridiplantae; Streptophyta; Magnoliopsida; Poales; Poaceae.